This 253-nucleotide ribosomal RNA is filed under the name uncultured bacterium. RNAcentral's name for it is "partial 16S ribosomal RNA". It matches the Rfam family "Bacterial small subunit ribosomal RNA", at positions 524 to 776 of the family's 1533-position model. The record is from RNAcentral.
UACGUAGGGUGCGAGCGUUGUCCGGAAUUACUGGGCGUAAGGAGCUCGUAGGUGGUUUGUCGCGUUGUUCGUGAAAACUCACAACUCAAUUGUGGGCGUGCGGGCGAUACGGGCAGACUGGAGUACUGCAGGGGAGACUGGAAUUCCUGGUGUAGCGGUGGAAUGCGCAGAUAUCAGGAGGAACACCAGCGGCGAAGGCGGCGCUCUGGGCCGGAGCUGACGCUGAGGAGCGAAAGCGUGGGGAGCAAACAGG